UACGAAGGGGGCUAGCGUUGCUCGGAAUGACUGGGCGUAAAGGGCGCGUAGGCGGCACACAUAGUCAGGCGUGAAAUUCCUGGGCUUAACCUGGGGGCUGCGUUUGAUACAUGUGAGCUAGAGGAUGGAAGAAGGCUCGUGGAAUUCCCAGUGGUAGAAGGUGAAAUUCGUAGAUAUUGGGAAGAACACCGGUGGCGAAGGCGGCGAAGCUGGUCCAUUACUGGACGCUGAGGCGCGAAAGCGUGGGGAGCAAACAGG
This 258-nucleotide ribosomal RNA is filed under the name uncultured bacterium. RNAcentral's name for it is "partial 16S ribosomal RNA". It matches the Rfam family "Bacterial small subunit ribosomal RNA", at positions 524 to 776 of the family's 1533-position model. The record is from RNAcentral.